GAUGAACGCUGGCGGCGUGCCUAAUGCAUGCAAGUCGAGCGAACGGACGAGAAGCUUGCUUCUCUGAUGUUAGCGGCGGACGGGUGAGUAACACGUGGAUAACCCACCUAUAUUACUGGUAUAACUUCGGGAAACCGUCGCUAAUACCGGAUAAUCUUUUGAACCGCAUGGGUCAAAAGUGAAAUACGGUCUUGCUGUCACUAAUAGCUGGAUCCGCGCUGCAUUAGCUAGUUGUUACGGUAACGGCGUACCAAGGCAACGAUGCGUAACCGACCUGACAGGGUGAUCGGCCACACUGGAACUGAGACACGGUCCAGAGUCCUACGGGAGGCAGCAGUAGGGAAUCGUGCGCAAAGGGCGAAAGCCUGACGGAGCAACGCGGCGUGAGUGAUGAAGGUCUUCGGGUCGUAAAACUCUGUUAUUAGGGAAGAACAUAUGUGUGAGUAACUGUGCGCAUCUUGACGGUACCUAAUCAGAGAGCCACGGCUAACUACGUG
RNAcentral lists this ribosomal RNA (497 nucleotides) under uncultured bacterium. Its description in RNAcentral is "partial 16S ribosomal RNA". It matches the Rfam family "Bacterial small subunit ribosomal RNA", at positions 28 to 507 of the family's 1533-position model. The record is from RNAcentral.